UGUAAUUUGUACAGGAGAGCCAUAUAAA
This 28-nucleotide small RNA is filed under the name Bombyx mori (domestic silkworm). Its description in RNAcentral is "ovarian small RNA-35389". The record is from RNAcentral. Lineage: Eukaryota; Metazoa; Arthropoda; Insecta; Lepidoptera; Bombycidae.